UUCAGGAGGGGCCUGCGGCCGAUUAGCUAGUUGGCGGGGUAAGAGCCCACCAAGGCAGUGAUCGGUAGCUGGUCUGAGAGGACGAUCAGCCACACGGGAACUGAGACACGGUCCCGACUCCUACGGGGGGCAGCAGUGAGGAAUAUUGGGCAAUGGGCGGAAGCCUGACCCAGCAACGCCGCGUGGAGGAAGACGGCCUUCGGGUUGUAAACUCCUUUUUUGGGGGAAGAGCGAGGACGGUACCCCAAGAAUAAGUCACGGCUAACUACGUGCCAGCAGCCGCGGUAAUACGUAGGUGACGAGCGUUAUCCGGAAUUACUGGGCGUAAAGCGCACGCAGGCGGUGCGUUAAGUCUGACGUGAAAUCUCCCGGCUUAACUGGGAGGGGUCGUUGGAGACUGGCGUGCUUGAGGCGGUGAGAGGGGUGUAGAAUUCCCGGUGUAGUGGUGGAAUGCGUAGAUAUCGGGAGGAAUACCAGUGGCGAAAGCGACACCCUGGCACUGGCCUGACGCUCAGGUGCGAAGGCGUGGGGAGCGAACGGGAUUAGAUACCCCGGUAGUCCACGCGGUAAACGAUGAAUACUAGGCGUAGGUGGAGUGAAAUCCAUCUGUGCCGCAGCAAACGCGAUAA
Molecule: ribosomal RNA, 629 nt
Filed under: uncultured bacterium
Lineage: Bacteria
Description: bacterial SSU rRNA
Rfam family: Bacterial small subunit ribosomal RNA
Source: RNAcentral